CAGCGGCGUAAGAUGAUGGGUACGCCGGCGACGCGCCGCGCCGCCGGGGAGCGCCGCGUCGUCAUGCCCGGCGAGGCCCACCCCCCGAGCCCCAACGAUCCACCGGCGGCCAGGUACACAGGUGUGGCAAAAAGGUCGGGGUUGUGAUGAUAUGGCACCACGUAAGGGAUGGUCUGAUCACCAACAACCCUUUGCCACGUCUAAUCAUUAACUUUCAUUGGUCCAUGCAGAAUCAAUUCCCCUUAGGGAUGGCCUUCUUGUGGUCCUGUGCUACUUGAUGCUAUGUGACAUGAUGAAUUUGGCAGGAUUGAAAUGGACUUAGCCACUAACUGCACUUUCAGUUUAUCUCAACCAUGGGCAUCAUUGCCGCUGAGCAUAAGAGUAGUACACGCACCCAUUUAGUUUUGCUUACUCAGUGCGUAACUUCGUGUCGUCACCUGAGAAAGACAGCUAGUACUUGUUGAAAGUUACAGAUCCUGACUCAUCUAUGAAGUUCUCAGCUAUCUCUCUCUCUCUUUUUUCGGUAUGUACAUAUGACUCAGAUACUGCAUGGAAACUGAUUUUGUUUUGUCCCCCUAAUUUUCUUCUGAAAUUGCUUUGCCCGAAAUAUUUAUUUUUUUGGUAAGUGCUUUGCUUAUUCAUGACAAGGCAUUUGGACUCACUUAGGGGAAUGCUUUGCAUGAUAAAGCAUGCGCACCAUGUGGUCAAUGCCACCAUAUCAUGCAGCCUUUAUGAUGUAACUAUGGGCAGGUCAACAGGGUUUGAUGCACUUACUAAGCACAUAUAAUGCGCAAACUAGAAUAUAGGAUCAAUGAACAGUAAAACGUGGAACAAACUGAAGUCAACCAUUCAUGCUGUUCCAAUUAUGAUUAGUGUUCAUAUGUACUGUCAUUUAAACUUGAUACUAAUAACUCUACAAUUUUCACAUUCUUGAAAAGCAAAUGAAGCAGUAAUUAACUGAUCUAUGUCUUAUCUAGCUGGACCAUACUAAUGUGUCAUUAUGCUAUGCAAAAUUUAAUAAGUACAUUCCAUAAGCACUGUUCUUCUGCUACUCUGCUGUACUAGUUUACUGGUACAAGUAGAAGUGUAUCCAUGUAAUUCCCGGUCUGCUUGCUCCUUGUAGUCCCACAUAGUAAACUCAAACCAUAUUUCUUCUUAAUACAAAUUAUGCAGAUCUCCUGUGUAUUCUCAAAAAAGUCAUUCCUGAUACCUGCAAUUCCUGUUCUACCGAAGAAGACGUUGAACAGCAUAGGAGGACUGCUAAUAUAUGAAAAACUGAAAUAGGAUUCUACUGGGAAGAGUUUAUGAUUACAAGUGUUAAUUAAAUUUAUUAUUAUCCUUUUGAAUGCACUAGUUGUUUUGCUUACUUUUGUUACUAGAGAAGUAAGAAAAAAAAUCGAUUUUUCAGGCAGAGUACUUUGAAUAGAAUUUUAUACCCAUGCAAUUGAUUUUAUCUUCAAAUAUUUGAUCUUUUGAUUUCAUUUUUACAUGGAAGACUUGAGAUUGAAAAGUUGAUCUAACAUGUUAUUUCUUCUUAAAGGAGUCCUCAAGAAUUACUGGAUGUGAGGUGAGACUUGCGGUUUUUAGCUGCUCACCCAAAGUUCCAGUUGGUCAGUUAUGGUACACUUCAAAACAUCAUGCCUGCCCAAGGAAACUGCGAUGGAACGCAAUAUCAGCGCUGCUAGGGUACCUAUGUGAUUCCUGAACAGUCAACUUCUGGGCCAGGCGAAAGUGCUGCAAGUGCAAUACGCACAGAUGGACCAUGCAGGUGUCCUGCCGCCCCUAUAGUGGAUCUUCUUAGUGCUGCUACCACAUGAAUCCGUCUGUGAUGGCUGCCUUCCUCCUCAUGUCAUGCAGGCGUCACAGCCAUGCCUCUUGACCAUUGCUACUAUCAGUUGCCGUACAUUUCCACCAUAAAGUUGCAAAGACUUCAGUGGAGUUGUGGGAAAGUACAGAGGGAGCAUCACUUGGAAAUGAAGCCACUCAGGUUCCAUGUGCCCCCUUUCACCCAUCCAUUCUAUAUCCAUUUUGGCAAACUGCUUCGUCAAAAAGUGGCUUGUCAAUCAUCAUUUCAAGUUACCCUCCAUGGUCAGUUUGCAAUCGCAAGAGGGACAGGGAACAGGUUUGGCAGAAAUUUACCACUAUGACAGCUAUUUACGAUGGCGACACUGAGGAUGCUGAAUCUUUCGGUACAUACCACCUUGCUAAGUAAGCGGCGGACCAAUUGGUAAAGGACAACAUUUUUAUUUGGCAGGAAAGGCUACCCACAGAUAGCAAGCGCCCGUGUCAAUGUUGUUUGUGCAGCUUACAAGGACAAUCCUUCGUCCUGAUCGUCAGAAUCUUCGACCCCUUCCCUUUAGGGAUGGCGUUUUAUGCAUGCCGUGUCUUUUUAGGGCAGGACAUGCAGGAUUAGUCCAGGUCCACUUGAUGCUGGCUGGGGCAGCGGUGGCGCUGCUGGAGGCAGCCGCAGGGAUACACGUGGGCUACCUAACUCCCCGUGAGUGGGUCCCACGCGUCAUACACAGGAGGCUUCCAUGGGUCCCGCUGCCCGGGUGACGUGCUGAUGACGUAACUCUGCCUCUGUAUCCCUGUGCCACGAAGAUGAUCAAGGGCCUACCAACUAUGCAAGCUCUUCAAUGGCAGCAUGACUUCUUUUCUUUCAGUCCGGCAAGUCGGCAUGUGUCAUCUUUCUUUGAGUAGAGAUCAUCACCGACGGAACCAGCUGGGACGUCACGGUUGAACAUGGUGCCGCGUUCCUGCGCCUCCUUGGUCCAAGCAUCGGCUGAAGGAGCAGAGAUCCCUCGUCAUUGCCUUGCCGACAGUUAGGCUCCGAGAAAGAUUUGCUCAGACAGUAGAACGAUAUCUCCCACAGGCAUAUCCAGCGACUCGAUUGACGGGCCAAGUAGGGGCCCGGCCGGAUCAGCAAUCUGGCACAUUUGUCGUCGGUCGAUCUUGCUGUCGUCGGCGCGUUUAGUUACCAAAAAUUUUCAGCUCCAAAUUUGUGACUCUCUCUUUGAACAUGUGUAUGGAGUAUUAAAUGUAGUUAAACAACAAAACUAAUUGCACAAUUUGGAUGUACACGGCGAGAUGAAUUUUUUAA
Long non-coding RNA from Panicum virgatum (switchgrass), 3100 nucleotides. RefSeq lists it as uncharacterized. The record is from RefSeq and is a predicted model, not a curated record. The transcript has 8 exons. Lineage: Eukaryota; Viridiplantae; Streptophyta; Magnoliopsida; Poales; Poaceae.